GGGGUGCUGGGACUUCUGGGCAGUGGGGCUGCAGGGGCCCGGGUCUGCCAGGCUGUUGGGGUGCAGAGGCGGCGGCUGCGGCCGAGGACGAGGAGCCAGCGGGCCGGCGUCCGGGCGUGGAGACAGGAGGCUGUGGGCGGUGCAGGGAGCCAGAGGGCUGCUCGCUGCUUCCCCGCAUGUAAGUGGUCCCGCAUCUCCCAUGGGCUCUGCGCAGCUCUGCCUAUGCGAUGGAUAAAUAAGCAGGGAAGAGAGCAAGAGCCGCAUGCACACCACCCCCUCCCACGCAAGGAUCCCGAAGAGUCACUGUCACCCAAUUACAGCAGGAAGUAAUUCUAAGGAAUUACCCCCUUUCUCUACUGUUGGCUUAAAGGGUAUUUUGACUUUUUCCUUCAUCCCUGAAAAAAAAAAAGGGAUAACACCGUGCUAUUCCUGAGAGUAUGUUGGGCACCGAUGACAUUCCAUCUGGAGUUUGUCCUCUCCUUGGCUACUGGCCCCUUGGGCAAAGAACUGUCCCACCUCAACUGCUGACUAAUGUCCUAACUAGGCUAGCAGGAGAUAACUUAAAGACAACUGCUGAAUCUUGCCAAGUCAGGCUGAAGGAUCUGAAUUAACUUGAUCAAUGCUUAAAAGAAACAUUAAGACUGAGACCUCUUACAGUGACUAUGAUGAGAAUGGCCAGGACCCCUCAGACUGUGGCAGGUUACACCAUUCCUCCAGGAUAACAUGCACAUUUUUCUCCUACUGUCAUUCAAAGACUGAAAAACUCCUGGGUAGAGAGUUUGGACUUUAACCCUGACUGCUACUUACAGGAUAACCCAGCAUGAGGAGAGACAAAUUUGCCUAUGUACCAUUUGGAGCUAAUGAGAUGACUGAUUGCAUUUCUGGUUGAAGUGUUUGCUUCUGUAACAUAUCUGUCCUUUUUCAAUAAACCAUCCUGAAAUUCAUUUACCAGAGAGAGAAGAGAGAAGGACAGAGAGGGGCGUGGGAGGGUGGAGAAUAGAGGAAGAGGAGGAAGAUGAGGAAGAGGAAAGAGAGAUCUUUCUCUUUCUGGGGGAAGGACUGCACAUUUUUGGGAACAGAAUCUUUCUUUGUAAAAUGGAAUAUGUCAUAAAUCUAAGAGUAAAUCUUUGUAUAGUGCGCCAUUGCUUUCUGACCCAUGUCCUUUUAUUAGUUCCAAACUUAUGAAGACCUUGAACUUCAGAUCAUUAUCUAAUACACUUAACAUAAGAUGCAAAGGAUUAUAGAUUAGCAAUUGAAUGUGCCAUUAGCUCAGCAGUUCAGCUUUUGUAAUGAGAGAGGAGGCAUCACUAAACUGGUGUCUGUGUCCACUGCUUUCAUGUACUGAACUGCUCCUGUACCUUAUGUAGCAACAUAUUCCAUUUCUGAGCAGCUUCCAUUGUUAAAUUCUUGUAAUGUCCUGUAGAUAGUCAGUCCUAUCACAGUCUUGGCUUUCCUCAUCUGUAUUUUAGAGUUUCUACAGCUAACAUAAUCUGGGGACUGACAAACAAUAUUGUCACCUUGCAGUUCUGGAGACAGUGUCUGAAAUCAAGAUGUUGGCAGGGGCCAUACUCUUUCUGGAGGUUUUGAAGCUUUCUUGCUUCUUCCUUGUAGAAGUUUCUUGCAUUCGCUGGCUUGUAGCUGCAUCUCUCCCCACCCACUGCUCUGUCUUUCCUUGUUAUUUGUUUACAAAUACUUCAAAGUUAUCAGCAGUUUUCACUUCUUUGUUGAUUCAGUUAGGAUACUUCUUUGUGACUAUUAACAGUUCUUUAACUUUUUAUUUAAGCCAGACUUCUCUUGAAUAUGGAUCAAUGUAAGUGGCUCCCUUAAAUGUGGCUCCCACAAAUAAAUGUUUAAUGGGUUAUGCAAGCAUGGUGAAAAGCCAGGUUCAAUUUUGUUUUUUGUUUGGCAAAAAAAAUAUUUACUACAAAUGUGUCCUUUCCAGAAUACAGUUAGGAAGUUUCAAUUACUACGGUUUUAAAAGCGUAAGAUCAUAAGACCAGUGACUUCUAAGCUUUAGCUUGGGAUGAGAAGUGGCUGUGUUCUUUGGGGGCUGUGUUCAGGAUCCUGAACCUAACAGAUGGUACCCAUGGGCCCAACUGUGUGACAUGCUCAUUGCCUGCACUUGAGGAGUCAAGAUGACUCUGUUGACGUGUGUAAUGCUGUAAUUCUAGCACUCAAGGCUGAGGCAGGAGGAUUUUGAAUUUGAGGCCAACCUAGGCUACAUAGCAACACUGUCUCCAAACAAACAAACAAACAAACAGAAAACAAAACAAAAAACCAACAACACCCUCCCCCAAAUAACAGUUUUUUACCCCCAAAGUAUGUUACAGUUUUAAGAGGCUUGAAGCCUUUGUAUCAAGGCCCAAAUCUCUGCUGUUAAAGGUUUCAAAUUAAA
RNAcentral lists this long non-coding RNA (2395 nucleotides) under Cricetulus griseus (Chinese hamster). RNAcentral's name for it is "lncRNA (ENSCGRG00015039537.1)". The record is from RNAcentral. Lineage: Eukaryota; Metazoa; Chordata; Mammalia; Rodentia; Cricetidae.